ACGUUAGCGGCGGACGGGUGAGUAACACGUGGGUAACCUACCUAUAAGACUGGGAUAACUCCGGGAAACCGGGGCUAAUACCGGAUAAUACAUGAAACCGCAUGGUUUCAUGAUGAAAGACGGUUUUGCUGUCACUUAUAGAUGGACCCGCGGCGUAUUAGCUAGUUGGUAAGGUAACGGCUUACCAAGGCAACGAUACGUAGCCGACCUGAGAGGGUGAUCGGCCACACUGGAACUGAGACACGGCCCAG
Molecule: ribosomal RNA, 251 nt
Filed under: uncultured Staphylococcus sp.
Lineage: Bacteria; Bacillati; Bacillota; Bacilli; Caryophanales; Staphylococcaceae
Description: partial 16S ribosomal RNA
Rfam family: Bacterial small subunit ribosomal RNA
Source: RNAcentral